GACACACGAGGAGAGGAUGGAAAACAAGAAAAACAUGGAAGGGGGGGGAACAGCCGGGAUGAAUCUCACCAAUGAAGUGUCUUCUCAGGGUCUUCCAGUCUGGUCUCAGCCUCCGGACAGCUCAAGGCGAACCCCACAGACAGAUAAGAGGGAAGGAAGGUGAUCAGAGGGGGAGAACACAAUCCACCGACAACACCAAUGCCGGACGAAGAGCCCACAGGAACCUCGGCAUCUAUCCAGGGAGAAGGCAGGGAGACGACAAAGCGGUCAAGAUGCAAUAGACUUGCUGUCGUGGAAGGAAGCAGGAGGAAGCGCAGUCUCAGCGGGGUAACAGGAAGGGCAGCAGGAGAACAGGCGAGGCAGGCACCGACCCGGCAGAGACAGAAGAGGUGCCAGCACUUUCACCACCCAGGCAGAGAGGAGCGGAGCAGAGGGAAGCAACAAACAGAGGAAAGCAACAAGUCCCACUGGAAUCAAACAGCGAGGGACAGAAGCAGGGAGUCAGCACCAGCAUCACCGGGAUCCACAACCACGGCCAUCUCAGAGCCAGCAACAUGAAGGAGGGGACAAGCGGACUGCAGAGAAAAAAAGACGACAUCGAACCAGGCGCUGAAGAUAUAGGAAAAUUGCGCAACAACAAGACAAGUACAUUUGUAAACAAGACACAGAUCAACAAGAAAAAAUGACUGUGGUUAAUCUUUUAUCCAAGGAACUUACUACCUCUGAAGUUGAAAGUAUGGUUUAAAGACAAGACCUGUCUCCUUCCUCAGUGAUGAUAUACCGAUGGGGGAUGAAGAUGAGGAUGGAUGUGUGGCUGCACUGGCCGGAGAUGUUUGCGAUUCCUCUGUUUAUAUUACUUCAAUUGUUUUUAUUUAUUUAACAUACCCAGGUUGAGCCAUGACGAAAAAGAUGUAUUUUCAAUAUAAUAUUAAUAGAAUUGGUUCAUGUAUUUAUGGUGUGAGGAGAACCCUCAUGGGCUUAUGGAUUUUAUCCGAUAUUCCAUUUGGUGAGGGUGAUGCCUACUUGAUGGUGGACAUUCAUCCUACCCUUUGGUCCGUUUUUCCUGUAUUGCCCCUGUUUAUACAUUUUAUAUUGCGAUACUUGUUCGGCUAGUUUAGAAUGUGACAA
Molecule: long non-coding RNA, 1128 nt
Organism: Bufo gargarizans (Asiatic toad)
Lineage: Eukaryota; Metazoa; Chordata; Amphibia; Anura; Bufonidae
Exons: 4
Source: RefSeq, a predicted model, not a curated record